This 497-nucleotide ribosomal RNA is filed under the name uncultured bacterium. Its description in RNAcentral is "partial 16S ribosomal RNA". It matches the Rfam family "Bacterial small subunit ribosomal RNA", at positions 28 to 507 of the family's 1533-position model. The record is from RNAcentral.
GAUGAACGCUGGCGGCGUGCCUAAUACAUGCAAGUCGAGCGAACAGACGAGGAGCUUGCUCCUCUGACGUUAGCGGCGGACGGGUGAGUAACACGUGGAUAACCUACCUAUAAGACUGGGAUAACUUCGGGAAACCGGAGCUAAUACCGGAUAAUAUAUUGAACCGCAUGGUUCAAUAGUGAAAGACGGUUUUGCUGUCACUUAUAGAUGGAUCCGCGCCGCAUUAGCUAGUUGGUAAGGUAACGGCUUACCAAGGCAACGAUGCGUAGCCGACCUGAGAGGGUGAUCGGCCACACUGGAACUGAGACACGGUCCAGACUCCUACGGGAGGCAGCAGUAGGGAAUCUUCCGCAAUGGGCGAAAGCGUGACGGAGCAACGCCGCGUGAGUGAUGAAGGUCUUCGGAUCGUAAAACUCUGUUAUUAGGGAAGAACAAAUGUGUAAGUAACUAUGCACGUCUUGAUGGUACCUAAUCAGAAAGCCACGGCUAACUACGUG